This 253-nucleotide ribosomal RNA is filed under the name uncultured bacterium. Its description in RNAcentral is "partial 16S ribosomal RNA". It matches the Rfam family "Bacterial small subunit ribosomal RNA", at positions 524 to 776 of the family's 1533-position model. The record is from RNAcentral.
UACAGAGGGGGCAAGCGUUGUUCGGAAUUACUGGGCGUAAAGGGCGCGUAGGCGGCCCUCUAAGUCAGACGUGAAAUCCCCAGGCUCAACUUGGGAACUGCGUCCGAUACUGGAUGGCUUGAAUUCGGGAGAGGGAUGCAGAAUUCCAGGUGUAGCGGUGAAAUGCGUAGAUAUCUGGAGGAAUACCGGUGGCGAAGGCGGCAUCCUGGACCGACAUUGACGCUGAUGAGCGAAAGCCAGGGGAGCAAACGGG